Non-coding RNA from Pelobates cultripes (western spadefoot toad), 262 nucleotides. Lineage: Eukaryota; Metazoa; Chordata; Amphibia; Anura; Pelobatidae. The record is from the annotation of a GenBank genome assembly.
GAUAAAAUGGUGUGGCCAGGAAUUUCCCUGCUAAAGACAAAGAUAGCCUGCUGUUAGAAGCCCUGCCCAUGAUCAAUAGGCACUAGAGACAAAGCCCAAAGUCUUCAGAGAGAUUGCAUAUCCUUCAGUUUAUCUUGAAGGACAUUAUCAAACUAUCAACUGAUUCCCUCAAAAGGCUGAUUUUAUCACCGAACAGACUGAACAAUCACGACCAUGGUGUAAGUCUCUAUGUCCUAAAAAGAUAGCACCUCUACAGAUUCAC